CCUACGGGAGGCAGCAGUGGGGAAUAUUGGACAAUGGGCGAAAGCCUGAUCCAGCUAUGCCGCGUGUGUGAAGAAGGCCUUCGGGUUGUAAAGCACUUUCAGUGGGGAAGAAAGCCUUGGGGCUAAUACCCUCGAGGAAGGACAUCACCCACAGAAGAAGCACCGGCUAACUCCGUGCCAGCAGCCGCGGUAAUACGGAGGGUGCGAGCGUUAAUCGGAAUUACUGGGCGUAAAGCGCGCGUAGGCGGUCUGAUAAGCCGGUUGUGAAAGCCCCGGGCUCAACCUGGGAACGGCAUCCGGAACUGUCAGGCUAGAGUGCAGGAGAGGAAGGUAGAAUUCCCGGUGUAGCGGUGAAAUGCGUAGAGAUCGGGAGGAAUACCAGUGGCGAAGGCGGCCUUCUGGACUGACACUGACGCUGAGGUGCGAAAGCGUGGGUAGCAAACAGGAUUAGAUACCCUAGUAGUC
This 465-nucleotide ribosomal RNA is filed under the name Vreelandella stevensii. RNAcentral describes it as "partial 16S ribosomal RNA". It matches the Rfam family "Bacterial small subunit ribosomal RNA", at positions 338 to 795 of the family's 1533-position model. Lineage: Bacteria; Pseudomonadati; Pseudomonadota; Gammaproteobacteria; Oceanospirillales; Halomonadaceae. The record is from RNAcentral.